Triticum urartu is the source of this 371-nucleotide non-coding RNA. Lineage: Eukaryota; Viridiplantae; Streptophyta; Magnoliopsida; Poales; Poaceae. The record is from RefSeq and is a predicted model, not a curated record.
AGAGCUGCAGUAACAACUAAGGAUCCGAUAUAUAAUAACAUCAUGAAAGGGGCACGGAGCGGCGAUCCAAUAUACACCGGCGAUGAAGGAAGUGGGGAUGGACAUUCGUGGAUUUGCCGUCCCUGAUUUGCUUUGUGGAGGACACAUGCCCAUGAUUCAUAAUGAUUUGCGGCAGUCUUAGAAGAAAAUUUCCCAUUGCUUUCAUCCCCCUUUGAGUGUCAAUUGCAAAGUUCAUCCGUUGGUGAAAGGAAACUGUACUCUUCUUUGUUUUAGUGCUCUGCCUCCCUGCUUCUAUGACAGAAUGGCAUGGCUUCGUGUACAAUAAAUGUUCUCUACUCUUGCAGCCCAUGUAUUACCAUUGACAGGGUUUG